This is a long non-coding RNA of Dicentrarchus labrax (European seabass), 2254 nucleotides long. RefSeq lists it as uncharacterized. The transcript has 4 exons. Lineage: Eukaryota; Metazoa; Chordata; Actinopteri; Moronidae. The record is from RefSeq and is a predicted model, not a curated record.
UAGACAUGGUAUUAACAUAUGGGCCAGAGCAAGGCACAAUCAAAAUUUCUUUAGGAAUUUUCUAGUUAUUAUUAUUCUUCCGUACGUUUUUCGGCGCGCUACUCCUCCCGGAGCUUUUGUCGCACGUACACAAGAAAGGUAUCAAAACGUGCGGCUCGGCCGGGAAUCGAGUGCUAUGACUUUUCUAAGAAUUUCGCCAAACGGUUCGCCGGUAAAUCGCCAAAAACCGGUCCAAAAAAUGAAUGGGUGUGUAUUGCGAGAACCUCCAACCGAAAAAAACUGCCAGAGUGCGUGACAUCAUCGCUAGAGUGUGGGGAGAGAGAAAAAUUUGUCGAAAAAUAAAUUUGUAAACUGCUGUCAUGGCCACAAAUUUCACUGUACAGAAAUAAUUUAUAGAUAGAAACGUAGGUAAAUUCGUUGGGGUCGCAGUGAUACUACUGCUGAAGCUGUCAGACAAAUAGUUUUGGCGGGAGACGCACUGAUGCGCCAGCAACUCCCUCUCAUGGCCCCAUCUACUCCCAUGUUAAAAUGGAGAGGAGGAUUCUUGAAAAACGCUCGUUGAACCUCUUCUCUCUCAAUCUCCCCAGGUCACAUUUUUUAACUUUAACCACUGAAACUCGGCAGCGCUAUAGUCAACAAGAUGACGACGCUCACGGUCUUUUCGGUUUUCAUUUCGGUCGUUCCUGGCCAUGCUUUUGAGGGGAUUCAUUUUAAAUGUUUUCUGUCUCUCUGAGGAGUUAGAGACAGAGAGAGAGCGUGCGCAGCUGCUGUGGGCUCCCCUGAUUGCCAUGACAACCAAAGCCUGCUCUCACACACACACACACACACACAGCUAGCUACAGAGAAUGACAAGACAUUAAUAAGCUAGCGCUAGCUGGCUAGCUAAAGAUAAUUAGAAGGUGGCUAACAAACAAACAAUUUAAAGCUGAAUGAUUUUAAUAUUAACACAAAAUAAGAACAAUACACCUUAAAUAUUUUACCCUACUAUGAGCUGUUCCUUAAUUUACAUUAGCACUCCUUCAGGAGAAUAAUACAAUUAAACACAUUAACCACAGCUAGCACUUAGCUAGCGAUUAGCGCUUAGCUAGCGAUUAGCAUGUAGCUAGCGAUUAGCGGUUAGCUAGCGAUUAGCGGUUAGCUAGCGAUUAGCGGUUAGCUAGCGAUUAGCACGUAGCUAAGCGCUAGCUUUGGUUUAUGUGUUUAUGUGUGCUAGCUCUAGCUAGCUAACUAAAGAGAAUGACAUGAUAUUAAUAUGCUAGCGCUAGCUAAGGAGGAUGACAGGUUAUCAAUAUGCUAUAGGGAGGAUUACAUGGCAUUAAUAAUCUAGCGCUAGCUGGCUAGCUAAAGAUAAUUAGAAGGUGGCUAACAAGCAAACAAUUUAAAGCUGAAUGAUUUUAAUAUUAACACAAAAUAAGAACAAUACACCUUAAAUAUUUUACCCUACUAUGAGCUGUUCCUUAAUUUACAUUAGCACUCCUUCAGGAGCAAAAUACAAUUAAACACAUUAACCAAAGCUAGCACUUAGCUAGCGAUUAGCGGUUAGCACUUAGCUAGCGAUUAGCGCAGAGCUAGCCAUUAGCGCAGAGCUAGCGAUUAGCGCAGAGCUAGCGGUUAGCACGUAGACAUGGUAUUAACAUAUGGGCCAGAGCAAGGCACAAUCAAAAUUGCUUUAGGAAUUUUCUAGUUAUUGUGCCUUGCAUAAGCAAGCACAAUACUACUCUUCCUCGGGCUUAUUAAACUUAUUAUUAUUCUUCCGUACGUUUUUUCGGCGCGCUACUCCUCCCGCAGCUUUUGUCGCACAUACACAAAAAAGGUAUCAAAACGUGCGGCUCGGCCGGGAAUCGAGUGCUAUGACUUUUCUAAGAAUUCCGCCAAACGGUUUGCCGAUAAAUCGCCGAAAACCGGUCCAAAAAAUGAAUGGGUGUGUAUUGCGAGAACCUCCAACUGAAAAAAACUGCCAGAGUGCGUGACAUCAUCGCUAGAGUGUGGGGAGAGAGAAAAAUUGGUGGAAAAAUAAAUUUGUAAACUGCUGUCACGGCCACAAAUUUCACUCUACAGAAAUAAUUUAUAGAUAGAAACGUAGGUAAAUCCGUUGGGGUCGCAGUGAUACUACUGCUGAAGCUGUCAGACAAAUAGUUUUGGCGGGAGACGCACUGAUGCGCCAGCAACGCCCUCUCACGGCCCCAUCUACUCCCAUGUUAAAAUGGAGAGGAGGAUUCUUGAAAAACGCUCGUUGAACCUCUUCUCUCUCAAU